AACGCGAAGAACCUUACCUGGGCUCGAACGGCUUUGGAACACCCUUGGAAACAGGGGCUUCCCGCAAGGGACCGGAGUCGAGGUGCUGCAUGGCUGUCGUCAGCUCGUGUCGUGAGAUGUUGGGUUAAGUCCCGCAACGAGCGCAACCCUUGUCCUGUGUUGCUAAUUCGCAAGAAUGCACUCUCAGGAGACCGCCAGCGAUAAGUUGGAGGAAGGUGGGGAUGACGUCAAGUCAUCAUGGCCUUUAUGUCCAGGGCUACACACGUGCUACAAUGGGCGGUACAAAGCGCUGCGAACCCGCGAGGGGAAGCUAAUCGCAAAAAACCGCUCUCAGUUCGGAUUGCAGGCUGCAACUCGCCUGCAUGAAGCUGGAAUCGCUAGUAAUGGCGUAUCAGAAUGACGCCGUGAAUACGUUCCCGGGCCUUGUACACACCGUAGUAC
Molecule: ribosomal RNA, 441 nt
Filed under: uncultured bacterium
Lineage: Bacteria
Description: bacterial SSU rRNA
Rfam family: Bacterial small subunit ribosomal RNA
Source: RNAcentral